This 433-nucleotide ribosomal RNA is filed under the name uncultured bacterium. RNAcentral describes it as "partial 16S ribosomal RNA". It matches the Rfam family "Bacterial small subunit ribosomal RNA", at positions 29 to 507 of the family's 1533-position model. The record is from RNAcentral.
AACGAACGCUGGCGGCAUGCUUAACACAUGCAAGUCGAACGAGACCUUCGGGUUUGGCGUCGCACGGGUGCGUAACGGGUGGGAACCUGCCUCGAGGCUCGGAAUGAAGUCCCGAAUGGGGUGCUAAUACCGGAUAAUGUACUCCGACCAAAGGUUUGUCGCCCUUGGAUGGGCCCGCGUCGGAUUAGCUAGCUGGUAGGGUAAACGGGUAUCAAGGGGACGAUGCAUAGCUGGUUAGAGAGGCAGAGCAGCGACACUGGCACUGAGCCACGGCCCGGACUCCUGCGGGAGGCAGCAGAGGGUGAUAUAGCACUAUGGGGGGAGGCAAGAUGCAGUUCUGCCGGGUGAGUGAUGAAGGCCUUAGGGUUGUACAGCUCUUUUACACGGGGUGAUAAUGACGGUACCGGGAGAAUAAGCACCGGCUAACUCCGUG